UCUUUAGAAAGAGCAAUGGCUCAGACGGUAGAGCACUGUCGUAUUCGCUCCGUGCGUACUUUCAAACAAGACUGCAGCAAUACCUGUGGCGUUUUACGGAACUAAACGUUCGCCACACGCAUAGUGUGGUAUACGAAAUAUUCGUGUAAUUGAAUGUUACCAGAUAUAAUUAUGAAUAAUCUCAUGGAAGAGUCUGUAACAAACAAAACAAAAAUUCACCGAGUUACACAUGCUGCAUUCUUGAAUGUUAUAACAAAACUAACAACACAACAGGCGUGAAAUUUCAUAGAUUUCCAACAUUUAAUGCACAUUUUCCACACAAACUUGCAAAACGUAAUGAUUGGAUAAAAGCAAUGCGUCUGCAAAACUCAGAUGGAUCACAGUGGAUUCCCAAAAGUAAUACUCGUAUAUGUAGUGCCCACUUUGUAGGUAAUAAAAAAUCACAAACUAUAAACCUAUAAUAUAUCCAGGAGUAUACAAAAAACGUCUUGUGAACAGCGAUCAACACUUGGCUAGGUACAAAAGAGGGUUAAAAAGAUCUAGCAAUCAAGUGAUUGAAAAUGCUGAUUCUAAAAAAAGAAAAGUAGACUCCCCACUUAUGGAUCACUCAACGUUAGGCAAUAAUAUGGCUAACCAUACCAUGGCAGUAACCAGUGGAUCUAUCGGCAUUGUAGGCCGACACUAUUACAAUAUUGAAAGGAUAAUGCAAAGAUUGAGAACACAUAAGAUUUUGGAUAAAUUGACUACCGAGAUGCUACCAUACAUGGAUAAAAUAAUUUUCAUGGCAUGUAUAUUAGUAAAUUUGCAACCUCCAAUUAUAAAAGAAAAGCAACUCUAAUGUAAGCAAAUUUUAUGUUCUCAGAAACAUUUGGUAAUUUUAA
This is a long non-coding RNA of Phymastichus coffea, 881 nucleotides long. RefSeq lists it as uncharacterized. NCBI's taxonomy places the organism in Eukaryota, Metazoa, Arthropoda, Insecta, Hymenoptera, Eulophidae. The record is from RefSeq and is a predicted model, not a curated record. The transcript is spliced from 4 exons.